This 309-nucleotide ribosomal RNA is filed under the name uncultured eukaryote. Its description in RNAcentral is "partial 18S ribosomal RNA". It matches the Rfam family "Eukaryotic small subunit ribosomal RNA", at positions 1470 to 1796 of the family's 1831-position model. The record is from RNAcentral.
CCCUUAGAUGGUCUGGGCGGCCCGCGCACUACAAUGGCGUGUGCAGCGAGUGCCGAAGUAGAGUUUUCCGAGGUAUUCUUGCAAUGCUCGUUUUGAUGGGGAUAGACCCUUGCAACUGUUGGUUUUGAACGAGGAAUUCCUUGUAAGCAUGGUUUAUCAUCCGACGCUGAAUGCGUCCCUGCCCUUUGUACACACCGCCCGUCGCUCCUACCGAUGAGUCGUCCGGUGAAGUUCGUAGACCUCGUGAUCGCGGAUCACUGGGGGAAGCAAAAUGAACCUCGCGGUUUAGAGGAAGGAGAAGUCGUAACA